GGAGAGAUGUCCGAGCGGUUUAAGGAGCUUGUCUUGAAAACAAGUGUGCCCGCAAGGGUACCGAGGGUUCGAAUCCCUCUCUCUCCGCCA
RNAcentral lists this transfer RNA (90 nucleotides) under Candidatus Saccharimonadota bacterium. Its description in RNAcentral is "Candidatus Saccharibacteria bacterium tRNA-Ser". It matches the Rfam family "tRNA". From Rfam's summary of the family: Transfer RNA (tRNA) molecules are approximately 80 nucleotides in length. Their secondary structure includes four short double-helical elements and three loops (D, anti-codon, and T loops). Further hydrogen bonds mediate the characteristic L-shaped molecular structure. tRNAs have two regions of fundamental functional importance: the anti-codon, which is responsible for specific mRNA codon recognition, and the 3' end, to which the tRNAs corresponding amino acid is attached (by aminoacyl-tRNA synthetases). tRNAs cope with the degeneracy of the genetic code in two manners: having more than one tRNA (with a specific anti-codon) for a particular amino acid; and 'wobble' base-pairing, i.e. permitting non-standard base-pairing at the 3rd anti-codon position. The record is from RNAcentral. Lineage: Bacteria; Candidatus Saccharimonadota.